This 1266-nucleotide long non-coding RNA is filed under the name Homo sapiens (human). Its description in RNAcentral is "non-protein coding TOB1-AS1:11". Lineage: Eukaryota; Metazoa; Chordata; Mammalia; Primates; Hominidae. The record is from RNAcentral.
AAUGAACCGACGAUCGGAGCACUGGGGACGGAAUGAAGAGAACGUCUGGAAAGGGACUGUGGGGGCAGACGUGCCAAUGAGAGAGAAAGGGGUGGGGUAGGGCGGCUGACGCCCGGUUUAGGCGGAGAGCGCCGGGCAGAGGGGGAGGGGGACGAAGCUGGUGGCGAAGCGGCUCAGGAGAACCGGGGCUGGAGGAGCGGCAAGAGUACCCAGAAAGUGCCCUCUCCGCGGGGGUCUGCGGCCAAGGAGGAUCCUGCUCGUGGAAUAGCUACCAAAUCGGCCUCCAGCCCACCCCAGGGGCGGGGUAGAGAAAGGGCAAACUGUGACCGGGACUUGUGCACCCGAUUAAUUGAAUAUUAAUCACCCCAAGGCCUAGGCCAACCGCCACCCAGAGAGUGGCAGCUGCAGAACCCAAAGACGUGGAGCCGGGCUGGGGGUGGGGAAGGGAGGCCGCCACAGCUCCCGCCCCGCCGGCAGUUUAACUGCUUCCGCAGCCUCAGGCCUCCCGGUGCGACCCCGGCUGCGACUCGGAUCCGUUUAUUCCAAAUGUCCCAGCCCACGCCGUGCCCAGAGUGUGGCGACACGAGGCCAAACUGCGUAGCAACGACGCCUGAUUGGCUGCGCUGGUCCCUUCGCAACGAGGCGAUUGGCUGCCUGGUAUCCAGGAGACCGACGUCAAACUCGGACUGGGAAAAGGGGAAAGUCUGGGGGGAGCGAAGGAGGGGACGGGGAGAAAGAAGCAAUGAAUGAAACGCCCAUCGCCUGGCCUUCCCCUUUCCCCUUUCCCCUCUCCUCUCCAUUCUUGGAGCACUUCCUGGAAAAACACCAGUUGGGGCGCCGCCUUCCCCUCCAAACGUUGGGGCCUGCACUCUCAACCUGCUAUAAGGAAGUUAAACCGCAGCUCACCGAGGAGUAGGGUGUCUACGGGGCGGGCCCGUGUAGACCAGCUGUGCUCCUCGGGCACAAACCCGCCGUACAUGCCAGGCCUAGAAGCUUUUGGCUUUGUGGACGCAAAAUCUGGUUGGAGCCGCCUUCUCCACCCUGACUCUCCCGCCUCUCCUUUUUAGAAGGAACCGCACUGAGAAAGGGUAUUUCUGAAGGCUCAAUGCGUAGGAGAAGGGGUGGGAAGAUGGGUUUGUGGAAUGGGCUGAGGGUGGGGAGUGGUCAGGUGACUGAUUUCAUGUUUAUUGUACAGAUUCCUAAAACAUAGUUUUACUAAGUGACUCCUUAAAUUCUGAUUAAUGUGAUUUUUUUUUUUUUUUGAGU